AAAGGUGAAAGGGAACAGAGCUGCAUUCCUAGAGAGGCCAGGGGAGGGGGAGUCCUUCCUCCGAAGCUCCUUCCCUCCUUCGUCUCUCUUUUCUGCACGAGCUGCCUUGCUGGCGCCUCCUGGAAUCCGGAAUCCUGAGAGUACAGAUGGAUGAGCAAGACCCAGCUGGCCCUGAAGCAGGAAGAGGCCAUGCCAUGGAAACUGGAAGCCGUGGGGGAUUCUGGGAAAACUCAGUGCAGUUGGGUGAGGUGGACACUCUUCGCUCAGAUGUGCAGAGCCAGCAGUUGAGA
Molecule: non-coding RNA, 290 nt
Organism: Podarcis muralis (Common wall lizard)
Lineage: Eukaryota; Metazoa; Chordata; Lepidosauria; Squamata; Lacertidae
Source: RefSeq, a predicted model, not a curated record